Molecule: ribosomal RNA, 755 nt
Filed under: uncultured Psychrobacter sp.
Lineage: Bacteria; Pseudomonadati; Pseudomonadota; Gammaproteobacteria; Moraxellales; Moraxellaceae
Description: bacterial SSU rRNA
Rfam family: Bacterial small subunit ribosomal RNA
Source: RNAcentral
AUUGAACGCUGGCGGCAGGCUUAACACAUGCAAGUCGAGCGGUAACAUUUCUAGCUUGCUAGAAGAUGACGAGCGGCGGACGGGUGAGUAAUACUUAGGAAUCUACCUAGUAGUGGGGGAUAGCUCGGGGAAACUCGAAUUAAUACCGCAUACGACCUACGGGAGAAAGGGGGCAACUUGUUGCUCUCGCUAUUAGAUGAGCCUAAGUCGGAUUAGCUAGAUGGUGGGGUAAAGGCCUACCAUGGCGACGAUCUGUAGCUGGUCUGAGAGGAUGAUCAGCCACACCGGGACUGAGACACGGCCCGGACUCCUACGGGAGGCAGCAGUGGGGAAUAUUGGACAAUGGGGGAAACCCUGAUCCAGCCAUGCCGCGUGUGUGAAGAAGGCCUUUUGGUUGUAAAGCACUUUAAGCAGUGAAGAAGACUCUUCGGUUAAUACCCGGAGACGAUGACAUUAGCUGCAGAAUAAGCACCGGCUAACUCUGUGCCAGCAGCCGCGGUAAUACAGAGGGUGCAAGCGUUAAUCGGAAUUACUGGGCGUAAAGCGAGCGUAGGUGGCUUGAUAAGUCAGAUGUGAAAUCCCCGGGCUUAACCUGGGAACUGCAUCUGAUACUGUUAGGCUAGAGUAGGUGAGAGGAAGGUAGAGUUCCAGGUGUAGCGGUGAAAUGCGUAGAGAUCUGGAGGAAUACCGAUGGCGAAGGCAGCCUUCUGGCAUCAUACUGACACUGAGGCUCGAAAGCGUGGGUAGCAAACAGG